This is a long non-coding RNA of Oryza sativa Japonica Group (Japanese rice), 1032 nucleotides long. RefSeq lists it as uncharacterized. Lineage: Eukaryota; Viridiplantae; Streptophyta; Magnoliopsida; Poales; Poaceae. The record is from RefSeq and is a predicted model, not a curated record.
CCCUUCCAGGCUUUGCUGCAAGCAACCAAAACGUAUAGAAAGCAAGGAUGUCGUCGUACUUCCAGACCACUCAACCGUUUAGUAGGACUUACAAGAUCGGUAAACCCAAGGGCGGCGGGGACGGGCAGGGAGCUGAGGGAAAACAAGGAUCCGACGGUGCAGGCCGGCCGCGCGUGCGGAUAAUCACACACAACAACGACCACGAACCACGAGUCGUGCAGCACGAACAAGCUCCAGCUUCAUCUCCGGCUCCGGCCCCCGUCUCCUACUGAAUCAACUAGCAAUCAACCAACGCAUCCAUCGUAUAGAUCCGUCCAUCCCGUCAUGCACGCGUAAGUGGCACUAAAUAGUACUCCUACUCCGUAAAUAUUUCCUCAUUCCCUAAAUAUGUUUGACAUCGUUGACUUUUUUAAACAUGUUUGUUCGUUUUAUUCAAAAACUUUUGUGAUAUGUGUAAAACUAUAUGUAUACAUAAAAGUAUAUUUAACAAUAAAUCAAAUGAUAGAAAAAAAAAUUAACAAUUACUUAAAUUUUUUAAAUAAGACGAACGAUCAAACAUUUUUAAAAAAAGUCAACGGCGUCAAACAUUUUAGAAUGAAGGUAGUCCUAAAAUCACCGCAAUGGUACGCACAGUAAGAUGAGCAGAUAAUUGGGACAUACGUACGUUCGUACACCUGCUAGUUGCGCUGCUCCCCCGUAGUUUCGACCGGCUUCCCGUGAGAUCGAAUAGCAUGCGGCCCAGCAUGCAUAUGUGUAAUAUGUCUUUGUAAAUGUAAACUAUAAUAAAGACUACUUUAUAGCCAAUGUAAUAGCCAAUUCAUAUAAUAGUUGUUUACUAUACUAUUAAUAUCUGGUCCCACCUAUCAUACACAUAUUACGUCUUAGAGUCCAUCCUGCAGCUAGCUACAGAUCUAUAGCCCGCUGUUCUUCUUUUUCUUCCUUUACCUCUUUAAAAUAUGUUUACAGCUAGCUUAAAGCCUGCUAUUGUACCUGCUCUUACUAUUCGUGUGUAUGGCAAAUCACGGCGGCCUA